CUGCUGCCUCCCGUAGGAGUUUGGGCCGUGUCUCAGUCCCAAUGUGGCCGUCCGCCCUCUCAGGCCGGCUACCGAUCGUCGCUUUGGUGGGCCGUUACCCCGCCAACUGGCUAAUCGGGCGCGGGCCCAUCCCGUGCCGCCGGAGCUUUCCGCAUACUGCCAUGCGGCUGUAUGCGCUUAUGCGGUAUUAGCGCCUGUUUCCAGGCGGUAUCCCCCGGCACGGGGCAGGUUGCCCACGCGUUACUCACCCGUCCGCCACUAAGUA
Molecule: ribosomal RNA, 265 nt
Filed under: uncultured bacterium
Lineage: Bacteria
Description: partial 16S ribosomal RNA
Source: RNAcentral